Molecule: ribosomal RNA, 678 nt
Filed under: uncultured Lecanoraceae
Lineage: Eukaryota; Fungi; Ascomycota; Lecanoromycetes; Lecanorales
Description: eukaryotic LSU rRNA
Rfam family: Eukaryotic large subunit ribosomal RNA (bases 249-678)
Source: RNAcentral
AUGUGAAUUGCAGAAUUCAGUGAAUCAUCGAAUCUUUGAACGCACAUUGCGCCCUCUGGUAUUCCGGGGGGCAUGCCUGUUCGAGCGUCAUUACACCUCUCAAGCUCAGCUUGGUAUUGGGCUUGUCGUCCCCUGUGGACGGGCCUGAAAAUCAGUGGCGGUGCAGUCGGUACUCAAGCGUAGUAGCAUAAUAUCCCGCUUUGGAGUUACCGGGUGGACCCGCCAGAUAACCCUCUAUAUUCAAUGGUUGACCUCGGAUCAGGUAGGGAUACCCGCUGAACUUAAGCAUAUCAAUAAGCGGAGGAAAAGAAACCAACAGGGAUUGCCUCAGUAACGGCGAGUGAAGCGGCAACAGCUCAAAUUUGAAAUCUGGCUCCCCGGGGCCCGAGUUGUAAUUUGGAGAGGGAGUUUCGGAAGCGGCGCCGGCCUAAGUUCCUUGGAACAGGGCGUCAGAGAGGGUGAGAAUCCCGUAUGUGGCCGGCGGUCAAUUCCGUGUGAAACCCCUUCGACGAGUCGAGUUGUUUGGGAAUGCAGCUCAAAAUGGGUGGUAAAUUUCAUCUAAAGCUAUAUACCGGCCAGAGACCGAUAGCGCACAAGUAGAGUGAUCAAAAGAUGAAAAGCACUUUGGAAAGAGAGUAAUCAGUACGUGAAAUUGUUGAAAUGGAGAUCCGGAGGAAA